CAGAGGUCCCAAGCGUUGUUCGGAUUUACUGGGCGUAAAGGGUGCGUAGGUGGUUGGAUAGGUCUGAUGUGAAAUCUCCGAGCUUAACUCGGAAAUGGCAUUGGAAACUAUUCGACUAGAGAGUUGGAGGGGGGACUGGAAUACUUGGUGUAGCAGUGAAAUGCGUAGAUAUCAAGUGGAACACCAGUGGCGAAGGCGAGUCCCUGGACAACUUCUGACACUGAGGCACGAAAGCUAGGGGAGCAAACAGGAUUAGAUACCCUGGUAGUCCUAGCUGUAAACGGUGCAUAUUUGCCGUAAAAGGAAUCGACCCCUUUUGUGGCGUAGCAAACGCGUUAAAUAUGCCGCCUGGGAAGUACGGUCGCAAGAUUA
This 372-nucleotide ribosomal RNA is filed under the name uncultured organism. RNAcentral describes it as "bacterial SSU rRNA". It matches the Rfam family "Bacterial small subunit ribosomal RNA", at positions 526 to 896 of the family's 1533-position model. The record is from RNAcentral.